This 497-nucleotide ribosomal RNA is filed under the name uncultured bacterium. RNAcentral describes it as "partial 16S ribosomal RNA". It matches the Rfam family "Bacterial small subunit ribosomal RNA", at positions 28 to 507 of the family's 1533-position model. The record is from RNAcentral.
GAUGAACGCUGGCGGCGUGCCUAAUACAUGCAAGUCGAGCGAACAGACGAGGAGCUUGCUCCUCUGACAUUAGCGGCGGACGGGUGAGUAACACGUGGAUAACCUACCUAUAAGACUGGGAUAACUUCGGGAAACCGGAGCUAAUACCGGAUAAUAUAUUGAACCGCAUGGUUCAAUGGUGAAAGACGGUUUUGCUGUCACUUAUAGAUGGAUCCGCGCCGCAUUAGCUAGUUGGUAAGGUAACGGCUUACCAAGGCAACGAUGCGUAGCCGACCUGAGAGGGUGAUCGGCCACACUGGAACUGAGACACGGUCCAGACUCCUACGGGAGGCAGCAGUAGGGAAUCUUCCGCAAUGGGCGAAAGCCUGACGGAGCAACGCCGCGUGAGUGAUGAAGGUCUUCGGAUCGUAAAACUCUGUUAUUAGGGAAGAACAAAUGUGUAAGUAACUAUGCACGUCUUGACGGUACCUAAUCAGAAAGCCACGGCUAACUACAUG